UACGAAGGGGGCUAGCGUUGUUCGGAAUUACUGGGCGUAAAGGGCGCGUAGGCGGUUUGAUAAGUUGGGUGUGAAAGCCCAGGGCUUAACCCUGGAACUGCACUCAAGACUGUCUUACUUGAAUUCGGUAGAGGAUGGUGGAAUUCCCAGUGUAGAGGUGAAAUUCGUAGAGAUUGGGAAGAAUAUCCGUGGCGAAGGCGGCCAUCUGGACCGACAUUGACGCUGAGGCGCGAAAGCGUGGGGAU
Molecule: ribosomal RNA, 245 nt
Filed under: uncultured bacterium
Lineage: Bacteria
Description: partial 16S ribosomal RNA
Rfam family: Bacterial small subunit ribosomal RNA
Source: RNAcentral